UCCCCGGUAGCUCAGUUGGUAGAGCAAUUGACUGUUAAUCAAUUUGUCGGCGGUUCGAGCCCGUCCCGGGGAGCCA
Molecule: transfer RNA, 76 nt
Filed under: Hyphomicrobiales bacterium
Lineage: Bacteria; Pseudomonadati; Pseudomonadota; Alphaproteobacteria; Hyphomicrobiales
Also listed under: 2 other names
Description: tRNA-Asn
Rfam family: tRNA
About the family: Transfer RNA (tRNA) molecules are approximately 80 nucleotides in length. Their secondary structure includes four short double-helical elements and three loops (D, anti-codon, and T loops). Further hydrogen bonds mediate the characteristic L-shaped molecular structure. tRNAs have two regions of fundamental functional importance: the anti-codon, which is responsible for specific mRNA codon recognition, and the 3' end, to which the tRNAs corresponding amino acid is attached (by aminoacyl-tRNA synthetases). tRNAs cope with the degeneracy of the genetic code in two manners: having more than one tRNA (with a specific anti-codon) for a particular amino acid; and 'wobble' base-pairing, i.e. permitting non-standard base-pairing at the 3rd anti-codon position.
Source: RNAcentral